UACGUAGGGGGCAAGCGUUGUCCGGAAUCAUUGGGCGUAAAGAGCGUGUAGGCGGCCCGAUAAGUCCGCUGUGAAAGUCCAGGGCUCAACCCUGGAAUGCCGGUGGAUACUGUCGGGCUCGAAUCCGGAAGAGGUGAGUGGAAUUCCUGGUGUAGCGGUGAAAUGCGCAGAUAUCUGGAGGAACACCGGUGGCGAAGGCGGCGUUCUGGACUGCAACUGACACUGAUGAACGAAAGCCAGGGGAGCAAACGGG
RNAcentral lists this ribosomal RNA (253 nucleotides) under uncultured bacterium. RNAcentral's name for it is "partial 16S ribosomal RNA". It matches the Rfam family "Bacterial small subunit ribosomal RNA", at positions 524 to 776 of the family's 1533-position model. The record is from RNAcentral.